Molecule: non-coding RNA, 107 nt
Filed under: Stenotrophomonas maltophilia
Lineage: Bacteria; Pseudomonadati; Pseudomonadota; Gammaproteobacteria; Lysobacterales; Lysobacteraceae
Description: Glycine sequence
Rfam family: Glycine riboswitch aptamer
About the family: This family represents the bacterial glycine riboswitch.
Source: RNAcentral
CAACAAAACUCUGGAGAGACCGGGUUACCGGCGCCGAAGGGGCAAGAAGCACACGAUCCUCGUCGCGGCGCUUCCAAACUCUCAGGCAAAAGGACAGAGGGGCGCAA